GUGGCCCUUUUAGGAGGAGUAGCUUCCGUUCACGCCCAAGACGGCAGUGAGAAGUGCGGUGCAUGCACCACUCCAAGCCCCCCACCGCCGUCUCCACCGUCGUCUCCUCCGCCGCCAUCACCGUGUCCUCCUCCACCGGCGCUUGCACCUCCAACACAGGAAAAUCCACCUCCUUCCCCCAAGAAACCUCCACCGUCUUCCUACUAUCCUCCGCCGUCGGGGGGGUUGGUUUACAUCACUGGUCCUCCCGGGCAGCUGUACCCUAUUGAUCAGGGCUUUAAUGGUGCUCAUGGAACUCGGAGCUCGAUGGGGUUACUGGCUCUGCUUGGACUCGUGUUGCUGGG
RNAcentral lists this long non-coding RNA (344 nucleotides) under Fragaria vesca (wild strawberry). Its description in RNAcentral is "long non-coding RNA (FVES_LNC002040)". The record is from RNAcentral. Lineage: Eukaryota; Viridiplantae; Streptophyta; Magnoliopsida; Rosales; Rosaceae.